CCAUAUGCUUGUCUCAAAGAUUAAGCCAUGCAGGUCUCAGUACGGCCUCUAGCGAAAAGGCGAAACCGCGAAUGGCUCAUUAAAUCAGUUAUGGUUCCUUAGAGCUUACGUUGUCUUACUUGGAUAACCGUGGUAAUUCUAGAGCUAAUACAUGCACCGAAGCUCCGACCCUCGGGAACGAGCGCUUUUAUUAGACCGCAACGACCGUAUCCGCCGCGCUUUCCCCUCGGGGUUGCGCGGACGUGUUUGCGUGGUGACUCUGGAUAACUUAGCCGAUCGGCCGCCGCACCCCCUUCGCGGGGGGUUAAACUGCGGCCGACGCACCUUUCAAGUGUCUGCCUUAUCAACUGUCGACGGUAGGUUAAAUGCCUACCGUGGUAGUAACGGGUGACGGGGAAUCAGGGUUCGAUUCCGGAGAGGAAGCCUGAGAAACGGCUACCACAUCCAAGGAAGGCAGCAGGCUCGCAAAUUACCCACUCCCGGCACGGGGAGGUAGUGACGAAAAAUAACGAUGCGGGACUCGGUCGAGACCCCGCCAUCGGAAUGAGUACACUCUAAAUCCUUUAACGAGGAUCCACCGGAGGGCAAGUCUGGUGCCAGCAGCUGCGGUAAUUCCAGCUCCGGUAGCAUAUGCUAAAGUUGCUGCGGUUAAAAAGCUCGUAGUUGGAUCUCAGUCUCGGCCGCUCGGUCUCGCCCGUGUUGGCGGGUCUCGACGCGGCCGGUCAGAAUGUCGGCCGCCCGGGAUGAUCUUGACCGGUUGUCUCGGAACGGCCGGCGAGUUUACUUUGAAAAAAUCAGAGUGCUCAGAGCGGGCGUUAUCCGCCCGGACGCCCGUGCAUGGAAUAAUGGAAGAGGACCUCGGUUCCAGUCUGUUGGUCCACGAACCCUGAGGUAAUGAUUAAGAGGAACGGCCGGGGUCGAUCGUACCGCGACGCUAGAGGUGAAAUUCUUGGACCGUCGCGUGACGCACCACAGCGAAAGCAUUCGUCAAGAACGCUUCCGUUAAUCAAGAACGAAAGUCAGAGGUUCGAAGGCGAUCAGAUACCGCCCUAGUUCUGACCAUAAACGAUGCCGACCAGCGAUCGGGCUGCGCUCGCCACGACGAGGCGCCCGGAAGCUUUCCGGGAAACCAGAGUCUCUGGGUUCCGGGGGAAGUAUGGUUGCAAAGCUGAAACUUAAAGGAAUUGACGGAAGGGCACCACCAGGAAUGGAGCCUGCGGCUUAAUUUGACUCAACACGGGAAAACUCACCCGGCCCGGACACGGGAAGGAUUGACAGACUGAUUGCUCUUUCUUGAUUCUGUGGGUGGUGGUGCAUGGCCGUUCCUAGUUGGUGGAGCGAUUUGUCUGGUUGAUUCCGAUAACGAACGAGACUCUAGCCUGCUAAAUAGCGAGUAUUUGUACAGCGGGCGUUUUCUCUGCUCUCGAUCCCGGCGGUUUCUCCCGUCUCGCUCGCGGGGCGGGGCCGUCGGCGUGAGAGGUGCGGGAGGCAAACCCGUAAUGCUCCGGAAUCUCUUCUUAGAGGGACAAGCGACGCAUUAAAGUCGCGCGAGGAAGAGCGAUAACAGGUCUGUGAUGCCCUUAGAUGUCCGGGGCCGCACGCGCGCUACACUGACGCCCACAGCGUGCGCGCUCGCCCGGUCCGACAGGAUCGGGGAACCCCUUCAACGGACGUCGUGAUGGGGACAGGGGAUUGGAAUUGUUCCCCUCGAACGAGGAAUUCCCAGUAAGCGCGAGUCACUAGCUCGCGUUGAUUACGUCCCUGCCCUUUGUACACACCGCCCGUCGCUACUACUAAUUGAACGGUUCGGUGAGGUCCUCGGACUGGCUUACGCUGGCGGGACCCUUGUCGCUGGCUCUUCUCGGGUCGGCGUUAAUUCCCGAUGCGGUAGCCGGAAAGUCGAUCGAACCGUAUCGUUUAGAGGAAGUAAAAGUCGUAACAAGGUUUCC
Molecule: ribosomal RNA, 1949 nt
Rfam family: Eukaryotic small subunit ribosomal RNA